CUUUAUGUGCGGCAUCGUGGAUUCGGCGUGAACAAGGAGGUUCGUGGAUUCAGAUCGUGGGCUCGUGGAUUCGAGUGGCGUUCGUGGAUUUGGACGUGGGCAUAGCGUUCGCGGAUUCGAACGUGGGGCUUGGACAACCGGUGACGUGCGCGAGAUCCGUAGGAGGUUAAGAGAGGCCGUGUGAGGACUGCGAUUUGGCAGUGUAGCUAAACUCUCUGUUGAUGGUGUUUUUAUGUGUAAUUUAAUUACAUAA
RNAcentral lists this long non-coding RNA (253 nucleotides) under Ananas comosus (pineapple). Its description in RNAcentral is "long non-coding RNA (ACOM_LNC022367)". Lineage: Eukaryota; Viridiplantae; Streptophyta; Magnoliopsida; Poales; Bromeliaceae. The record is from RNAcentral.